UACGUAGGGGGCAAGCGUUGUCCGGAUUCAUUGGGCGUAAAGAGCGUGUAGGCGGCCAGGUAGGUCGGGUGUGAAAUCCCCAGGCUUAACCUGGGAACUGCAUUCGAGACUGCAUUGCUAGAGUAUGGGAGAGGGAAGUGGAAUUUCCGGUGUAGCGGUGAAAUGCGUAGAUAUCGGAAGGAACAUCAGUGGCGAAAGCGACUUCCUGGACCAAUACUGACGCUCAUGUGCGAAAGCGUGGGGAGCAAACAGG
This 253-nucleotide ribosomal RNA is filed under the name uncultured bacterium. Its description in RNAcentral is "partial 16S ribosomal RNA". It matches the Rfam family "Bacterial small subunit ribosomal RNA", at positions 524 to 776 of the family's 1533-position model. The record is from RNAcentral.